UACGUAGGGUGCAAGCGUUGUCCGGAAUUAUUGGGCGUAAAGAGCUCGUAGGCGGUCUGUCGCGUCUGCUGUGAAAACUCGGGGCUCAACCCCGAGCCUGCAGUCGAUACGGGCAGACUAGAGUCCGGCAGGGGAGACUGGAAUUCCUGGUGUAGCGGUGAAAUGCGCAGAUAUCAGGAGGAACACCGGUGGCGAAGGCGGGUCUCUGGGCCGGAACUGACGCUGAGGAGCGAAAGCGUGGGGAGCGAACAGG
RNAcentral lists this ribosomal RNA (253 nucleotides) under uncultured bacterium. RNAcentral describes it as "partial 16S ribosomal RNA". It matches the Rfam family "Bacterial small subunit ribosomal RNA", at positions 524 to 776 of the family's 1533-position model. The record is from RNAcentral.